Molecule: long non-coding RNA, 953 nt
Organism: Amblyraja radiata (thorny skate)
Lineage: Eukaryota; Metazoa; Chordata; Chondrichthyes; Rajiformes; Rajidae
Exons: 4
Source: RefSeq, a predicted model, not a curated record
ACUGGUGUCUGCGGCUCUGAGGAACCCGGACUGUAAAAUACAGAGACUAAGGCUGCAACGUGUCGGUCUCACAGAUUCUGGAGCCGUGGAUCUCAUCUCCGCUCUCAGUACAAACCAUACGGUGACGGUGCUGAACCUGAGUGGGAAUAAACUGGGAGAUUCCGGGGUGAAACUGGUGUCUUCGGCUCUGAGGAACCCGGACUGUAAAAUACAGAGACUGGAGCUGCAACGUGUCGGUCUCACAGAUUCUGGAGCUGAGGGUCUCGUCUCCACUCUCAGCACAAACCCCUCACUGACAGGGCUGUACCUGACAGACAACUCCCUCACAGACCGAUCUGUCUCCGCUCUCCGUCGUCUCAUACUGACUCUCCCGAGUCUGGAUCAGAUCUGGCUGCUGGGGAAUAAGUUCAGUGCAGAGGGACAGAACCAGCUGAAGAGUCUGCGGGGAACCAGACGCGGACUGAGUGUGUACGUGUGAACAUCUCUGGUUGUAAACGUCACCGCCCUGGGGACUGGAAUAUUGUUGGCCGUUUCCCUGCCCCUCCCCUUUAAACGGCCGCCCAUCCUCCCCUUUAAACCCCGACAUUUCCCUGGCCGGCUGUCACGUGACCCGGAUACGUGGCGCUGCUGAUGCUACCAGGCCGGUGCUGCCCCCAGAAGGGGACGGGGGAAUUACAGCCGGAUCUGCAGGAUCCCAGAUGUGACUUUAUCAUCAGUGGCCCCCGCUCCUGCUGUGGAUUAAUGGUGACAACAGCAACAGCAACAGCACGCUACUAGAUGCUGCCUACCUACCGGCGCACACGUUGCCGUGCCUGCUUGCCUGCCUGCCACGUUGUGCUGCUCCUUGCUGCUGUUCAUGUUGUCACAAGCGGGCGGAGCACCAAGGAAAAUCCCUUGUAUGUGAAUACUUGGCCAAUAAACUUAUUCAUUCAUUCAUUCAUUGUUCAAACUGU